AUGCCUAUUCCACAUUCUUCCUCAAUUCAGAAGGGUUAAUUAAGUGUCACAGGGUAAGCAAGCUCAUGCCGUCCCAGCCUCUGAUGAACAAGCUGAAGAAGGUUGUCCUUGCGUCCUUAUUGGGCCUCAGUCUUUCAGAUCAGAGGCCGUCACUUCUGCUGUUUUUCUCAGCUCUGGCAGGCAAAGAGCCAGGGGCACCGGUUGGCUGUAGGGAGAGCUGAAGCCCUUUGGUUGUCCUGUCCUCUUGCUCGUAUCUUUCACAGCUAAUCUGUCACAUCGCGGGGUGUGACAAGGAGAACGCCACUAGCAGUCCGUUGUGCAUCCAUGUUGCCUUUGUACAAAUAGUGUGGGCUUCGCCUCAUGUCGCUGCUGUUAACCGCACCAGGAAGCGCUGUAAAGAUGGUUGUAAUUUAAUCUGUAUAUAAUAAAGAGAGGUUUAUGUUGAA
This is a non-coding RNA of Anolis sagrei ordinatus, 446 nucleotides long. The record is from RefSeq and is a predicted model, not a curated record. NCBI's taxonomy places the organism in Eukaryota, Metazoa, Chordata, Lepidosauria, Squamata, Anolidae.